This 253-nucleotide ribosomal RNA is filed under the name uncultured bacterium. RNAcentral describes it as "partial 16S ribosomal RNA". It matches the Rfam family "Bacterial small subunit ribosomal RNA", at positions 524 to 776 of the family's 1533-position model. The record is from RNAcentral.
UACGUAGGUGGCGAGCGUUGUCCGGAUUUACUGGGCGUAAAGCGCGCGCAGGCGGCAGUCUAAGUCCUCUGUGAAAUCACCCGGCUCAACUGGGUGGCUGCGGAGGAGACUGGGCAGCUUGAGGGGCCUAGGGGCCGGUGGAACUCCCGGUGUAGUGGUGAAAUGCGUAGAGAUCGGGAAGAACACCAGUGGCGAAGGCGGCCGGCUGGGGGUUCCCUGACGCUGAGGCGCGAGAGCGUGGGGAGCAAACCGA